Molecule: ribosomal RNA, 452 nt
Filed under: bacterium enrichment culture clone bHCH1_B1
Lineage: Bacteria
Description: bacterial SSU rRNA
Rfam family: Bacterial small subunit ribosomal RNA
Source: RNAcentral
CGGAGCGGAUAAGUGGAGCUUGCUUCCUGAUUCAGCGGCGGACGGGUGAGUAAUGCCUAGGAAUCUGCCUGGUAGUGGGGGACAACGUUUCGAAAGGAACGCUAAUACCGCAUACGUCCUACGUGAGAAAGUGGGGGAUCUUCGGACCUCACGCUAUCAGAUGAGCCUAGGUCGGAUUAGCUAGUUGGCGAGGUAAAGGCUCACCAAGGCGACGAUCCGUAACUGGUCUGAGAGGAUGAUCAGUCACACUGGAACUGAGACACGGUCCAGACUCCUACGGGAGGCAGCAGUGGGGAAUAUUGGACAAUGGGCGAAAGCCUGAUCCAGCCAUGCCGCGUGUGUGAAGAAGGUCUUCGGAUUGUAAAGCACUUUAAGUUGGGAGGAAGGGCAGUAAGUUAAUACCUUGCUGUUUUGACGUUACCGACAGAAUAAGCACCGGCUAACUUCGUGCC